Molecule: long non-coding RNA, 282 nt
Filed under: Vigna radiata
Lineage: Eukaryota; Viridiplantae; Streptophyta; Magnoliopsida; Fabales; Fabaceae
Description: long non-coding RNA (VRAD_LNC012751)
Source: RNAcentral
CACACACACACACACACAAAUAAAUAGACACACACAGAUACACAUACACACACACAGACACACACAUACACACACCCACAAACUCACACACAUACACACAGCCAUACACACACAUACAAUACAAAGACACAAAGACACACACACAUACACACACAGACAUAGACACACAAACACACACACACACACAGACACACACAUACUCACACACACACACACACACAGACACACACAUACUCACACACACACACAUAGACACAGACACACACACACAAAGACACACAC